RNAcentral lists this ribosomal RNA (253 nucleotides) under uncultured bacterium. RNAcentral describes it as "partial 16S ribosomal RNA". It matches the Rfam family "Bacterial small subunit ribosomal RNA", at positions 524 to 776 of the family's 1533-position model. The record is from RNAcentral.
UACGUAGGGGGCAAGCGUUGUCCGGAUUUAUUGGGCGUAAAGAGCGUGUAGGCGGCUAGGUAGGUCCGUUGUGAAAACUCGAGGCUCAACCUCGAGCUGUCGAUGGAAACCAUCUGGCUAGAGUCCGGAAGAGGAGAGUGGAAUUCCCGGUGUAGCGGUGAAAUGCGCAGAUAUCGGGAGGAACACCAAUGGCGAAGGCAGCUCGCUGGGACGGUACUGACGCUGAGACGCGAAAGCGUGGGGAGCAAACAGG